AAAACAAACAACAACAAACAAGAGUGGUAGGCAACAUUUCUCGCUUCAGACAUUUUAAAACCUCCCUAAUGAGCAACUGCCUUUACCAAAGUCUCCUCUUCCUGGGGACCAGAAACUUCUCCCAUCCUGCUACUUGAAGUGUGGCCCCAGGACAAGUAGUACUGGCAUCACCUGGAGUCUGUUUGAAAUCCGGGCUCUUAAGCCGCAUUCCAGACCCACUUAACGUGGUGCCCAGGCACUACAGUUGUGAUGAGGCAAUUGCAACAUUUGAAAAGACCCCAGGGAGUUUGCAUUAAAUGCGUUUCACAAGAGUGAAUGAUGGAACAGAACACCAUGUACAAAGACACAGUCAUCCAACACCCAAGCACAAAUGGCACAAGUUAAACAUGUGACGGCUUGAUGUAUGACAGGUAAUUUGUUUUGCACGUCCAUUUCCAUUUACAUAUGAACUUAAAAACUGUUUACAUUGCUUUUAGGAGUUGCAUUUUAAUAUGCUGGUAUGCUAUUUUUCCCUUCAAGAGAAAAAUUUCAUUUAAAUGUGACUAGUUACUUGGAGAAAAUAGGAUUAUAUAUUCAGGUUUUAUUAUUCCACAAAAUGAAAUUAUUUUGUUUCACUUAGAAUGCCUAUGACGUAAACCACCCUUCACAUCUAUCCAUCUCCACUCUUCUCAAUUUAAAUCAAAUUUUAAAAAAGAAAGAAAAAUGGUUUUUAGCCUUUUUUUUUCCCAUUCUGACUCUUUUAUUGCAUCUUGGAUAUAUUUGACCAAUACAAGCAUAUUUAUACUUCUCAAUCCAAAUUAUAAUCCCCUCUACCUAUUCAUUCCUAAGGUAUAUUUAUUUCUUAGGACAUCAGCAAAGAAUUAAACAGUAUUCUCAGAUGUGCUGGUCAUUCUCUCUGUCAUGAGUUAACUUAAUUGAAAUUAGCCUAAAGAUAUUAAUGUUAUCUGGAAAAAUGAACAUGGGAGAAGAGUUAGGAAAAUUUUGGAAAAAAAUAAUUGGAAAGAAGGUGACCCUUAUUACCCAAUAUUAAAACAUAUUAUGAAGCUACAAUAAUUAAAAACAUUCAGUAAUGGAGAAUAAAUAGGUUAAUAAAACAUAAUAAAAUAUCCAGAAAUAGACCUAAAUAUAUAUGGGAACUUAGUUUAUGAGAAAGCUGGCAUUUCAAAUUAGUGAGAAAAAGAGGGGUUAUUCAUUCAGUGAUAUUCAUACAAGUGGCUAACUGGAAAAAAAAUCAGGCCAGAUAGCUACCUCAUUUUUUACCCCCAAAUACAAUCCUGCUUAUGACAUAUUUACAUGUGAAGGAGAAAAAAAAAAACAAUUCUAGAAGAAAUCUCAGCUAAAUUUAUUUAUACACUUUAAAUGAGAGUUUUCCUAAGAAACCUAUAAUCCAAAAAAGAAACAUAUAUUUCUUUUAUAUGUAUUAAAUAUAUAUAUUUAAUUACAUAAAAUGAAAAUCUUUUGUAUGAAAAUAAAUCACAGAGUGGGAAAACUAAUAACCACAAUAUGCGGCAAAUAUAACAAAUGGCAAAUUUCUUUAAUUUGCAAAGAACUCAUACAAAUCAGGUGCCAAAUAGAAGAAUGGGCAAAGGCUAGGGAAGCACUUUACAGAAAAGGAAAUAUAAAUAGUGAGUAAACAUAUGAAAAGAUGUUCAAACCCAUAAUUAUGGAAAUACAGAUCAAAGCAAUGAGAUUUUUUCCCCCACCAAGCAGAGUGGAAAUUUUUAAUGUUUGAUGAUAUCCAGAGCUGAUACAGGCUUGGAGGAAAUAAAGGGGGUCUCUCAUACAUUUUGCAGGGAGAGUGCACUUUUCUGAAUGAUAAUUAAGCAAGAUGUCUGAAAAUUUAAAAAGCACAUGCCUUUUACGUCACCUGUGCUACUGCUCAGAAUCUAUCCUAUGGAGAUGCUCUGAAAUAUUCACCAAGAUAUAUGCACAAGGAUGUUCAUUUAAAAAUAAUAUUAAAAAAUGGGAAACCACCAAAGUGUCCAUUCAUAGAGAAUUAGUUUUAAAUUAUAAGUCCACACAAUGGGAUUGUAUGCCGCUAUUUAAAAGUCAUUAAAAAGAAAAAGGAGACACAACAUGUUAUCUGGAAAAGUUACCAAGAUAUAUCAUUAAGUUCAAAAUGACAGCAACAAAAACCAAGUACAGAACACCAUGACUAUAUGAUCAUCACCUAUGUGAAAUAAAAACCAACACAAAUCCAGGUAGAUACAUCAUACUUAUAUGUAUCUCUGUGUGUACAUGUGUGCAAGUGUGUGCAUACACAUGUACAAACAUAUAUUCUGCCCCUACCCCAAGAAAUUAUUGGAAGGUGAUUACAAUGGAGAUCUGCCCUUUUAAUGUGGUGUCUUUCUGAACAAUUCAAUUUUUCUAACAUUAUAGCAUCUGUAACUUUUAUUUAUUCAUUGAAUGUCUAUAGAAGCAGAGAAAACAAUGGGCCUUGUUUUCUAUGGUAAAUCCUGGUAAAACACUGCAUUUCACAUAUAAAAUAAAGAAAAAAUCAUUUUUGUGGCCUACCUCCAAAUCACUUUCUUAUUUUUCAGCUGAUUACAGGAACUCCAUGGUUUUGAAAUUAAAAGCAGUUAAUGCCCUUUAUAUUUGUAUAUUUAAGAGAAAAAUUCCUGGUCUUGAAUUAAAAAGCUAAUUUCCAAAAGAAAUGACAAAGAAUCACCCAACCUCUCAAUUUAAAAAAAUCUAGAUGAAAAGAGGUCACUGUCACCCAGAGGGGGGUUCAGGUUGUUCUGUUGGCAUCCUUCAAGCACUUUAAAUUAUUAAACAAACUCAGAUCUACAGCACUUUUCAAAUCUUUCUGAGCAGUCCUUCAACCUAACAGUGCCCUCUUCUGGUUCCAUAAAUUACAUUCACUGUGGUUCACUGAGGUAGAGAAAAAGAAUAAUUUAUAGAAGACGAUAGGAAAAUUCGCAUUGAAAUCUGGGAGAAAAGAGUUGUUUUCCUUGUUAGCAUAUAAAAGCAAAAGUCCAGUUUAAAUAAAAUGUAUAUAAUUAUUACCUAUUAUACAUGUACUAUAUAUGUUAAUUUGUGUGUAUAUAUUUAUGAUAUAUGGUAUACUAUUUAUAUAAUUUAAUAUAUAAAAUACAUAGUAUAAAAACUAAUAUCAUGCAUGAUCUAAAUAGUCCAGUUUGAUAGCAGCGGCUCUAAGUUGGAACUGUUUUGAUCUCAAGUCAAAUAUUUAUUAUAAAUCUAAACUACCUGGGUUUGAUUAAAUUUUUAUUUCCCAUUUUAUUAAUAGGCAUAUUUAACUGAAUUUACUAAAUCUAUAGCUAUAAAACAAAUUACCUUCAAUUUUUAUUCUCAAAGUUUUCAGUCUUGCAGAGAUUUGAGAUCCAUGUAAAAAGGCAGUAAAAACGUGACUUCACUUUGAGAAAUAGUCAUUCUUGAAUUUCACACUCCCUAUCUUCACUCCAAUUUUUUAAAAGAGUUUCUGACUGAUGAAUCUGCACUAAAAGGUCUUCUGCUGUCUAGGUGACCCACCAGAAGGACUGUACUCAUGAUGGAGAAUGAGGAAACAUUCCGAGGCAAGCCACUGGCCAUUUUCAGAUUUUCUAAACAGCGGCUAGGCAACAGCACCCCCUGCUGCCCCGCAAACUAACAUGCACCUUCCACAGUAGGAGGCCCGGAUGCAAGACGGGAAAGCAAGCAGGCUUCUCACUUACUAAGGCAGCAAAUAAUUUGUUAAGCGCAUAUUGUUACUAAGAUAUUGUAGAGGUGGGAGGUGGGGAAGAAUCCACAGAGAAGUGGAACCCUCAUUGUUGUCUCUCAAGGAACUUUCCAUUCAGUUGGGAACACAUAUGACGUAAUGAAACUCCUGAAUGUAGGGCGUGGAGACAUUGAUGAGUUGGUGCUCGAUCUGAGAAACAGUGGAGAGCCGCUCUCCACAUUUAACCAUCCCCAAAUGGUGCCAGUCGUCUAAAGACAUGCCUGAACAAGUGACAGUGUUUGACAGACCUUAUAUCUCCUUUCUAUCACACCAAAAUCUCUGUAGUGAGCUCAGGCAAUGUUUUGACCUGCUGGUGUGCUGAUGCACUUCAGGAUAAAAAGAAUUGGUCCACAUUGUAGCAAUAACUUCCAGGAAGAAACGAGUGGAUUGGACCAGAUUAUCUCUACAAUUUCUUCCAGUGCAAACACUCUGUGAAUGAAGGCACUUGCCUUCUCUCUAAACUGGAAGCCUCUUGAGGGCAGGACUGCAUCUACCUCCUCUCUGUACCCCUGCAGCACCCAGUACAGUGCCCAGCAAUGGACUGGAACCAAACCAGCAGAGCAAAACCAGGUGAGAGGAUACCUUGAGGACACCUUCAGCAACCCAUCUGAAACUAGAUAGCUGUCCUCUGAAAGGCAGCUUUUAUAUAACUAAGAUCACAUUGCAAUGAUGCCAAAUGUCUGAGAAACUCUUGGAAUUACACAAGGAAUUUAAAAAUAUGCAAUAUCAUUUGAAAACCAGCAGGAUACAGAGGGACAGGAGAAACAGAAAGGAAGACAGUAGAAAAGAGGAAGAGUUCCCCAAUCAAAUGCUAUUUAUUAGGAUUUCCCUCUUAUCCAGUAGUUAAAUGAAAUUUCUACAUCAAAGAAAAUCUCUGAGCACUCAGUAAUUUGUCUCUCCAGGGAACGGGAAUUCAGGCGGCUUUUAAAAAUAUCAUGGGGCCCAGCUAAUGUCCAGAAGUCAUCAUUAGAGAGCUGGAGUAGGUUAGAAGGAUGAAGUUUCGUUUGUCAGCCUCCUCCUGGUUCUCUGUAAGAGCCAUCAGUGGAUCCCGCCUAGAAGGGCUUAGCCCUCUUGAAGGGAAAGGCGCCAGCUUUGGAGCCCAGCGGUUGUCUGGUGGAUUUUAUUAUUAGAUUGGAGGUUCCACACAAUGUAAUUAAAGCCCUAUGGCCAUAGCGGCACCAAUGUCACAGGCCUGACUUUUUCUAUUGCAGCUGAUAAAUCUGCAGGCAGAUGGACAAUGUUCUCUUUCCUUUUGCCUCUGUGUGUGUGUAGGAAGAGAUGUGGAUGGACACAUCCCUCAAAAUCAUUUGGCAAGCACUAAUUCAGUUGAAAUGAUGCUUGGCAAGCUCUAGUCAUAACAAAGCAGCCUCAGAAAGGCCU
RNAcentral lists this long non-coding RNA (5095 nucleotides) under Homo sapiens (human). RNAcentral describes it as "HSALNT0319333". The record is from RNAcentral. Lineage: Eukaryota; Metazoa; Chordata; Mammalia; Primates; Hominidae.